RNAcentral lists this long non-coding RNA (202 nucleotides) under Sorghum bicolor (sorghum). Its description in RNAcentral is "long non-coding RNA (SBIC_LNC006556)". Lineage: Eukaryota; Viridiplantae; Streptophyta; Magnoliopsida; Poales; Poaceae. The record is from RNAcentral.
UGAACUUGUGGGAAGAGUACUUGAUCUAAAGUCUAAGUCGUUAACGGAUAUGAUAUGGAAAGGUUGAGCUGUUGUUUAUCUGUUCCUAGAGAUACUAGAAUUCUAGAGAAUUUUAUCUUUGAAAAUCUUUAAAAUAACACAUGAUGAGUUCCUGUAUGAUGAGAGUUUAAAUUCCUACCACAGCCAUAUAUACAUGCUCGCU